CUACGUGCCAGCAGCCGCGGUAAUACGUAGGUCCCGAGCGUUGUCCGGAUUUAUUGGGCGUAAAGCGAGCGCAGGCGGUUAGAUAAGUCUGAAGUUAAAGGCUGUGGCUUAACCAUAGUACGCUUUGGAAACUGUUUAACUUGAGUGCAAGAGGGGAGAGUGGAAUUCCAUGUGUAGCGGUGAAAUGCGUAGAUAUAUGGAGGAACACCGGUGGCGAAAGCGGCUCUCUGGCUUGUAACUGACGCUGAGGCUCGAAAGCGUGGGGAGCAAACAGGAUUAGAUACCCUGGUAGUCCACGCCGUAAACGAUGAGUGCUAGGUGUUAGACCCUUUCCGGGGUUUAGUGCCGCAGCUAACGCAUUGAGCACUCCGCCUGGGGAGUACGACCGCAAGGUUGAAACUCAAAGGAAUUGACGGGGGCCCGCACAGGCGGUGGAGCAUGUGGUUUAAUUCGAUGCAACGCGAAGAACCUUACCUACUCUUGACAUCCAUGGAAUUCUGUAGAGAUACGGGAGUGC
RNAcentral lists this ribosomal RNA (517 nucleotides) under uncultured bacterium. RNAcentral describes it as "bacterial SSU rRNA". It matches the Rfam family "Bacterial small subunit ribosomal RNA", at positions 501 to 1017 of the family's 1533-position model. The record is from RNAcentral.